GAUGAACGCUGGCGGCGUGCCUAAUACAUGCAAGUCGAGCGAACAGACGAGGAGCUUGCUCCUCUGACGUUAGCGGCGGACGGGUGAGUAACACGUGGAUAACCUACCUAUAAGACUGGGAUAACUUCGGGAAACCGGAGCUAAUACCGGAUAACAUGUUGAACCGCAUGGUUCAACAGUGAAAGACGGUCUUGCUGUCACUUAUAGAUGGAUCCGCGCCGCAUUAGCUAGUUGGUAAGGUAACGGCUUACCAAGGCAACGAUGCGUAGCCGACCGGAGAGGGUGAUCGGCCACACUGGAACUGAGACACGGUCCAGACUCCUACGGGAGGCAGCAGUAGGGAAGCUUCCGCAAUGGGCGAAAGCGUGACGGAGCAAGGCCGCGUGAGUGAAGAAGGUCUUCGGAUCGUAAAACUCUGUUAUGAGGGAAGAACAAAUGUGUAAGUAACUAUGCACGUCGUGACGGUACCGAAUCAGAAAGCCACGGCUAACUACGUG
Molecule: ribosomal RNA, 497 nt
Filed under: uncultured bacterium
Lineage: Bacteria
Description: partial 16S ribosomal RNA
Rfam family: Bacterial small subunit ribosomal RNA
Source: RNAcentral